This 69-nucleotide transfer RNA is filed under the name Largus sp. RNAcentral's name for it is "tRNA-Gln". Lineage: Eukaryota; Metazoa; Arthropoda; Insecta; Hemiptera; Largidae. The record is from RNAcentral.
UAUACAUAAGUGUAAGUUGCACAAAGAAUUUUGAUUUCUUUAGAUUUAGUUAAAUCCUAAAAUGUAUAA